This is a non-coding RNA of Oryctolagus cuniculus (rabbit), 821 nucleotides long. The record is from RefSeq and is a predicted model, not a curated record. NCBI's taxonomy places the organism in Eukaryota, Metazoa, Chordata, Mammalia, Lagomorpha, Leporidae.
CAGAGUUCAGAGGCACUGGAGGGAGAGCCAAGUGCCCAGGUGUAUGAGGAACCGAUUAAAACACCAAAGACCCCAGGAGGAAAGAGCUGCAUGGAAAGAAAAGCCUGUCUUCUUCACUGGUCACCACAGUGUCCUCUGGUGAAGUCUGUAACAGUUGCAGUCACCUUUUGACCACUAUUGAUCAACUAUUGAAGACAACGAAGUAGAAAUCUGGAAAGGACCUGGUCUUGUUGAGGAUCCAAGAUUUCAAGAACAUCUGUUCUACUGAGAGCAACUCCAGGUCAACAUGAAAACGAGAAAUCUGGAAGGAAAACUAGGCAAAUGAUUUUGUGGCUGCUCUUACCCAAGCUAAGACCAGUUCCAGGAAGGAUCUUUCUGAAGACUCUCUGCAAGUGUGGUUCAUGGAGAAGAAACCUGCCAAAGAGUAUAAGCUCCCUCUGUCUGUGGAUUCUAAGGACUAUCUACUUUCUCACCAGCCUCUACCCAUUAACUAACUAUUCUGGCUGAAGUCUUUCACUGGUAUCCUGCAGAAUCUGCCCUAGUGCAAGGCCAUAAACUCUUCCUGCUGGCAAGCGGAGAAGCCAGGCACGUUUUGAGAGGUGCAGCAAGCUGCAGCAGAGAGCAGGUACUGGGAAGCCAAGUAAGCCCUGUAAUUAAAACCAUGCCCAGCAAAUGCUCCUGAUUCCAGAGGUCACAUCUGACUUCAGCUAAAGCAUUCUUUUUUGGUCCUCUCUUAACCCGGUCUUGACUUUUGAGCAUUCUCAUCAUUACCAGGGAGGAGGGAGGGAGGAAUAGGGCUGGGGGUAGACAGAAGAAUGUGA